Molecule: small RNA, 331 nt
Filed under: Histoplasma ohiense
Lineage: Eukaryota; Fungi; Ascomycota; Eurotiomycetes; Onygenales; Ajellomycetaceae
Description: hypothetical lncRNA
Source: RNAcentral
UUCAGGCUAGGAUUCCGCCUACACUUUGAUUGUUGUCUCCUCGACCACCGAUUUCUAUUAUGGAUUCACGUUUUAUCACGCAUUGGUUCAGAGAAUAAGGAGGGAAUCUUCCAACCAUAUCGAAUUUAUCAAGCAUAUAAAAACGAAGAAAAAGACAAGAUAUAUACAAAUCCAAAGCAUAACACUAGAAUGAUUAAAUGAACAGUAAUAAUAAUAAAAAUGAAAAGAAUAAAACCAAAACAUAUGACUUCCGUAGAAAGAGAGAAUUUAAUUCCUUAAUUUGGAGGUAAAACAAUGGAAACUCUUUUUCGAGCCCUUCUUGCUGCACCCG